AACUAUUCAGCUAUCCUUUAUUUAUUAUAUGACUCAAAGCUGAAUAAAAUCUGUAAAUCAAUUAUCAAAUUAUCAUUAACAUUAAAUGAUUGGAUGUUCCAGACGAUCAAUUCGAAUAAUUGCCGAAAAUCGAUAAUUUGAAUAUGGGAACAGCAUUAUUUGAACUUUAUUUGGUGCUCAAGCGAUACGUCCAACUAGGAGAAUCAUUGUGUACCGAUGAAUUGGAAAUGAGUGGAUUUUAUCAAUGGUUCGAGACAAGUGUGACACACUGGCUUGACAUUUCAAUAAUAAAGGCCCUCAAUCGUAUCCAGAAAGCUAUAGAUCUGGAUCAACUAAAGGCGGUCGACGAAACCGUAAAAUACAGCUCUUCUGCUGUGGAUACUCUCUCAAUUUUUUAUCAAAUUAAAAUAUUUUGGCAAAAAGGCCAGAAAUUGAGGGCUCCUAUAUAUUUAUAGCUAAAAUUGUAAACGAUCUAUGUCGAUGCUGCAUUUUCUAUGCUCAACGAAUGUCACAAAGAGUCGAAAAGUUAACUUAAUUGGGGAUAAUAACAAGAU
Drosophila obscura is the source of this 554-nucleotide long non-coding RNA. RefSeq lists it as uncharacterized. NCBI's taxonomy places the organism in Eukaryota, Metazoa, Arthropoda, Insecta, Diptera, Drosophilidae. The record is from RefSeq and is a predicted model, not a curated record. The transcript has 3 exons.